RNAcentral lists this ribosomal RNA (467 nucleotides) under uncultured bacterium. RNAcentral describes it as "partial 16S ribosomal RNA". It matches the Rfam family "Bacterial small subunit ribosomal RNA", at positions 28 to 507 of the family's 1533-position model. The record is from RNAcentral.
GAUGAACGCUGACAGAAUGCUUAACACAUGCAAGUCAACUUGAAUUUGGGUUUUUAACUUAGGUUUGGGUGGCGGACGGGUGAGUAACGCGUAAAGAACUUGCCUCACAGCUAGGGACAACAUUUGGAAACGAAUGCUAAUACCUAAUAUUAUGAUAAUAGGGCAUCCUAUAAUUAAGAAAGCUAUAAGCGCUGUGAGAGAGCUUUGCGUCCCAUUAGCUAGUUGGAGAGGUAACGGCUCACCAAGGCGAUGAUGGGUAGCCGGCCUGAGAGGGUGAUCGGCCACAAGGGGACUGAGACACGGCCCUUACUCCUACGGGAGGCAGCAGUGGGGAAUAUUGGACAAUGGACCGAGAGUCUGAUCCAGCAAUUCUGUGUGCACGAUGAAGUUUUUCGGAAUGUAAAGUGCUUUCAGUUGGGAAGAAACAAAUGACGGUACCAACAGAAGAAGUGACGGCUAAAUACGUG